Molecule: long non-coding RNA, 216 nt
Filed under: Elaeis guineensis (African oil palm)
Lineage: Eukaryota; Viridiplantae; Streptophyta; Magnoliopsida; Arecales; Arecaceae
Description: long non-coding RNA (EGUI_LNC046200)
Source: RNAcentral
GGAGUCAUCCACACGAGCCCACGAAUCUCGAUCAAAAGUCCUGCUCCAGGAAAUUAGCACAGUAUGCUAGUAUUGCGCUGAUCCUUUUUCGAUGGUUGAUCAGGUACCUUCUUCUUCUUAAUUUGAACUCUUCCAAAGAUGAGAAGUAGGAGGAGGAGUUUCAAAUCUGAGACGCUCUCAGAAAACUCAAGAUGGAGGAAGGGAAGAGAUGAACAC